GGAAAAGCUAGAUAAACUCAAUUCUUUGGACAUUCCAGAGCAGGAGGAGAUUAGAGAUGGUUUUGCAAAAUCGAUCAUCGUCGGAAUAGAUCCAACAGCUUCUGCAUCUAAAUCAAUUGUUCCACUGCUAAUAUAAGCUUUGUCACAUUCAGGGUGGCCAAACUCACCACAUUCUGAUCCUUUUCCUAUGCUGUAAUCUGAGACAGUUGAGUAAAUGUAUUCCACA
This 226-nucleotide unclassified non-coding RNA is filed under the name Hevea brasiliensis (rubber tree). The record is from RNAcentral. Lineage: Eukaryota; Viridiplantae; Streptophyta; Magnoliopsida; Malpighiales; Euphorbiaceae.